This is a non-coding RNA of Peptococcaceae bacterium BRH_c23, 213 nucleotides long. The record is from Rfam. Lineage: Bacteria; Bacillati; Bacillota; Clostridia; Eubacteriales; Peptococcaceae.
AAAGUCUGGUCAACAGCCGGAAGCGAGUCUUGCAGAAGCGAGUCUUGCAUACUAAGAAGCGAUUCUUGGUGUGAAGCGUAGACAGCAAGUGCAAAAGCUGUGUGAUUGAGCCUCGAAAACCUUUUCGUUGGAGCUUUUGUUUUUACCAGAUCAGGAGCAGUACAAGGGUACUUUAUAGACCUGGUGCCGUUGUCCGACCGGGGUCGAAGAGCA